GGGAUCACCAACCUCACACCAGGAGGGACUCGGUGGUUUGUUCCUGCAGGUUUGAGAUUAUGGCACCAAUCCCCUGGGAAGCGCCUCCCUGGAGUGGGGUGGGCAAAACCUCAGGUUUGGCCUCCUGCUGGGAUCCCAUCAGAGCUCUCCCAUCUCCCAUGUCUCUUAAUUCCUUAAGGAGCUCAGCUCUCCGCUCUCUUUGCCGGCUCCUCACCACCUUCUCCUUUACCUUUUGGGUUCAUGCCGGCGAAAAGGGGGUGGUUUAAUGCGAUUAUUCCGGUAAAACCCCCGUAAGAGGAUUCCCAGGGCUUGGCUUCACAGCCCUGCAGGGGCUAUUGGGCAGCGUGUGCAUGGGGAUGAGCUGGAUAUGGGAUAGUGGGAAGCCCGGGAGAGGCUUUGUAAGCUGAGCCAAACCGUGGUGUCCCUGCGAGGGUGACCCUGGGAUCUGCAGCCCCCGGGGGUGCCACGUGCUGCCUUUCCCUGGGACAGGAUGGACAUUUCCAGUGGUGUGGAUCCUGCUCACCCUGGAGAGAGGUGGAUGGAAUAGGCAGCAGAAACACAGAGAAGAGGGAUGGAGGGCUGGGAGAGCAGGAUUCCUCUGGGAGCUCCCCUCUGGAUGAGAAAAGUAACAUUUCCCCCCAAGGACAUGAACAACCAGAACUCCGUGGUGGACCAGAUAUGUACGAUGACAUGAGUUAUUUUCCUUUUGUGUGCAUAUAUAGUUAAACUAUACAACAGGAUUCACUGAGUCAA
Molecule: long non-coding RNA, 753 nt
Organism: Neopelma chrysocephalum (saffron-crested tyrant-manakin)
Lineage: Eukaryota; Metazoa; Chordata; Aves; Passeriformes; Pipridae
Exons: 3
Source: RefSeq, a predicted model, not a curated record